UGACGCGACAGUAAUGCAGGUUAGUACGAGAGGAACCCCUGUUUCAGACAAUUGGUAAAUGCGGUUGCUUGAAAAAGCAAUGCCGCGAAGCUACCAUCUGUUGGUUUAGGGCUGAACGCCUCUAAGUCCGAAACCAUGCUGGAAAGCGUCGAUAUACACCUCUCCCAAUGUUAUACGAGUACCGAUACGUCAUUU
This 195-nucleotide ribosomal RNA is filed under the name Schizochytrium aggregatum. RNAcentral describes it as "partial Eukaryotic large subunit ribosomal RNA". It matches the Rfam family "Eukaryotic large subunit ribosomal RNA", at positions 3009 to 3202 of the family's 3401-position model. Lineage: Eukaryota; Bigyra; Thraustochytrida; Thraustochytriidae. The record is from RNAcentral.